Onthophagus taurus is the source of this 834-nucleotide non-coding RNA. The record is from RefSeq and is a predicted model, not a curated record. Lineage: Eukaryota; Metazoa; Arthropoda; Insecta; Coleoptera; Scarabaeidae.
AGGACUAGAUAUUAAGAAAGGAAGACUAGAUACUACUAUCAGAAGAUAUUAUGGUCACUCUAAUUUGAACUGCAUCAUAUUCCUUGGCAUUUCUAAAAUAGGAAUAAAUUUCGAGUUGAGCAGAAUUUAUGGUCACUCUAGUUUGAACUGUAACAUGUUCCUCAUGACCUCUAAAAUAGCAACAUUCAGAAACCAGAAAUAUUUGCAGAAUACUUGAAAAAGACAACCUGCUGAUUGCACAAACUAGAUACUGGUGGCAGAGGACUAGAUAUUAAGAAAGGAAGACUAGAUACUACUAUCAGAAGAUAUUAUGGUCACUCUAAUUUGAACUGCAUCAUAUUCCUUGGCAUUUCUAAAAUAGGAAUAAAUUUCGAGUUGAGCAGAAUUUAUGGUCACUCUAGUUUGAACUGUAACAUGUUCCUCAUGACCUCUAAAAUAGCAAAUAUUUGCAGAAUACUUGAAAAAGACAACCUGCUGAUUGCACAAACUAGAUACUGGUGGCAGAGGACUAGAUAUUAAGAAAGGAAGACUAGAUACUACUAUCAGAAGAUGUUAUGGUCACUCUAAUUUGAACUGCAUCAUAUUCCUUGGCAUUUCUAAAAUAGGAAUAAAUUUCGAGUUGAGCAGAAUUUAUGGUCACUCUAGUUUGAACUGUAACAUGUUCCUCAUGACCUCUAAAAUAGCAAAAUUCAGGAACCAGAAAUAAGUUCGAAGUGUUCAAAAUAUAGAAUAACUUGGUGCGGAAUAACAGCAAAAACUAGAAUUAGCUUAAUAUAAUCACUAGAACUAACAUUAAACCUAGAACUAGAAAUAUUUAGGUUUCUCGAAUGUUUU